UGAGAAUUCUGCUGAGUUGAAGGGAUCCUCCUGUCAGACAACCUCUCCAAAGUACAAUAGGACUAGGUUCCCACUACAAGGAUUAGAUUUGGCUACUGCAGUCCCGGUUUGGGCCAGCCUCACUUGUGAAGA
Molecule: non-coding RNA, 132 nt
Organism: Danio rerio (zebrafish)
Lineage: Eukaryota; Metazoa; Chordata; Actinopteri; Cypriniformes; Danionidae
Source: RefSeq, a predicted model, not a curated record